RNAcentral lists this long non-coding RNA (451 nucleotides) under Homo sapiens (human). RNAcentral's name for it is "non-protein coding lnc-SLC14A1-5:2". The record is from RNAcentral. Lineage: Eukaryota; Metazoa; Chordata; Mammalia; Primates; Hominidae.
GUUCAAGUAGAGUCAGGGAAGGUCCUAGGGGAGGUGGUCUCUGAACUCAAGGGCAGGUUGCCAAAGAGGAGGAGUUGGGAGAGCAUUGAUGACCGGCAGAGAAGUCAAUGCGCAGAGGUCAGAUGAGAGAGUGACAAGGAGGAAACAAGGCAGGCUGGAGCAGAGAGGACCACAGGAGCACCAUGUCAUGCUUCACCCAGAAAUCAGUCUUUGAGGGCAUGGCUGAGAACUGCUAUGAGUGCCUUUGGAAGGCCCAGGGGAACCCACGGUGGACGUCACGGCCAAAAGAUUACUGCCGAGGACUGCAUCUCAAGGAAUGGGCAAGGGGAAGACAGAAUCAGGCUAACUCAGCAAUGCCAGUGUCUCAAGCAUAAAAGGUAUUCGAGUAGAAUUUGGCAAAAAAAUGGAGAAAUGAAGAAGUUAGAUUUAAGACACUGAAAGUGGUGUGCAG